This 70-nucleotide transfer RNA is filed under the name Colobopsis nipponica. Its description in RNAcentral is "tRNA-Ser". Lineage: Eukaryota; Metazoa; Arthropoda; Insecta; Hymenoptera; Formicidae. The record is from RNAcentral.
AGUUAAUGAACUUGAUUAAAGUUUAUAUUUUGAAAAUAUAACAAAGAAAUUAAAAAUUUUCUAUUAACUU